This is a long non-coding RNA of Rhagoletis zephyria (snowberry fruit fly), 558 nucleotides long. RefSeq lists it as uncharacterized. Lineage: Eukaryota; Metazoa; Arthropoda; Insecta; Diptera; Tephritidae. The record is from RefSeq and is a predicted model, not a curated record.
AACAAAAAAUAAAACGCAGAUAGCUGUACAUAGUAAUAUCAUGUAGUACUUUCAGCGCAUGUUGACAUUUAGCAUCACUUCAAACAAUUAACGGAGACAACAACAAAGCCGCCUGAAAAAAUUUUGUUAACAAAAUUCACACUUUGCACAACUACAACUGCAUUCAAAUGAACUCAGCUGUUUACUUAACCAUGCAACCAACGCCUGACUGACUUGCUACAGUGCUGAUGUAACUGAAUCGCAUGAAUCUAUUAAAUCUCGCAUUACAAGUACGCUUACCUUGUCAUCUGAAAGUGGAAUCUGUAGCACAUCUAAUUCCUGAUUGUCGGCAGGUACGGGCACAGCGGAUACGAGCAUUACUGCGGCGCUGCAUAGGCAGGCGGCGAUUGCAAAUAACUGUUGUUGCCUCAUAAUGUGUGCUGAUGUGUUUGUGUGUGUGUGGGUGUAUGUGUGUGGGUAAAUUUGUGCUUUAUUGGCGUUGAUGGUUGACUGCAAUCAGUUAGUCAGCGUAGUAGUCCACGGCCACUGUAUGUGCACUACGAAGCGUUUGCGUUGACU